Molecule: ribosomal RNA, 414 nt
Filed under: Psychropotes longicauda
Lineage: Eukaryota; Metazoa; Echinodermata; Holothuroidea; Elasipodida; Psychropotidae
Description: partial 16S ribosomal RNA
Rfam family: Bacterial large subunit ribosomal RNA
Source: RNAcentral
UAGCAUAAUAAUUUGUUUUUUAAAUGAAAACUAGUAUGAAUGGCCAUCCAUUUUCUAACUGUCUCUCUAUAUUCUCUUUUAAAUUUCUACCCCCGUGAAGAAGCGGGGAUUUCAAAGUAAGACGAAAAGACCCUGUCGAGCUUAAGCUAAUAAAAGAAAUUUUAUUAUAUUAAUUUAUAUUUAUCUUUUUUAAGCUUUGGUUGGGGCAACCAUGGAGUAAAAUUAUCCUCCAGUUAUAAUAAGAUGAAUUUUAUUCUCUUUAUUAAUUUAAUGAACCAAACUAUUUUGGUAAACAGAAAAAGUUACCGCAGGGAUAACAGCGUAAUCUUCUUUGAGAGCCCAUAUUGACAAGAAGGUUUGCGACCUCGAUGUUGGAUUGGGGCAACCAAAAAGCGCAGCCUCUUUUAAAGGUUG